AACGAACGCUGGCGGCAUGCCUAACACAUGCAAGUCGAACGAGACCUUCGGGUCUAGUGGCGCACGGGUGCGUAACGCGUGGGAACCUGCCCUUAGGUUCGGAAUAACUCCCCGAAAGGGGUGCUAAUACCGGAUAAUGUCUUCGGACCAAAGAUUUAUCGCCUUUGGAUGGGCCCGGGUUGGAUUAGCUAGUUGGUAGGGUAAAAGCCUACCAAGGCGACGAGCCAUAGCUGGUCUGAGAGGAGGAGCAGCCACACUGGGACUGAGACACGGCCCAGACGGCAACGGGAGGCGCAAGGGGGGAAUAGGGGACAAUGGGCGAAGGACAGAUCGAGACAUGCCGCGUGGUGGAAGAAGGGUGUCGGACGUGAAAGCACUUGAAGGGGGGAGGAAGGGAAGGAGGUGAAUACCGCGCGGGGGUGACGUUACCAACAGAAUAAGCACCGGCUAACGUGGUG
This 458-nucleotide ribosomal RNA is filed under the name uncultured bacterium. Its description in RNAcentral is "partial 16S ribosomal RNA". It matches the Rfam family "Bacterial small subunit ribosomal RNA", at positions 29 to 507 of the family's 1533-position model. The record is from RNAcentral.